This 85-nucleotide transfer RNA is filed under the name Candidatus Woesebacteria bacterium. RNAcentral describes it as "tRNA-Ser". It matches the Rfam family "tRNA". Rfam says of the family: Transfer RNA (tRNA) molecules are approximately 80 nucleotides in length. Their secondary structure includes four short double-helical elements and three loops (D, anti-codon, and T loops). Further hydrogen bonds mediate the characteristic L-shaped molecular structure. tRNAs have two regions of fundamental functional importance: the anti-codon, which is responsible for specific mRNA codon recognition, and the 3' end, to which the tRNAs corresponding amino acid is attached (by aminoacyl-tRNA synthetases). tRNAs cope with the degeneracy of the genetic code in two manners: having more than one tRNA (with a specific anti-codon) for a particular amino acid; and 'wobble' base-pairing, i.e. permitting non-standard base-pairing at the 3rd anti-codon position. Lineage: Bacteria; Candidatus Woeseibacteriota. The record is from RNAcentral.
GGAGGAUUGGGUGAGUGGUUUAAACCAGCGGUUUACUAAACCGCCGCUCCGCAAGGGGCCAUGAGUUCGAAUCUCAUAUCCUCCG